This 240-nucleotide long non-coding RNA is filed under the name Nicotiana benthamiana. RNAcentral's name for it is "long non-coding RNA (NBEN_LNC020541)". Lineage: Eukaryota; Viridiplantae; Streptophyta; Magnoliopsida; Solanales; Solanaceae. The record is from RNAcentral.
AAGAUUCUUACACUUCUAUUUAAGGUGAAUGUCUUUAAUGUAUCUAAUUAGAGAGAUAUUAGAGUUCUAUUAGUGGUAACUAAGUCUUCCUCUCCCCUAUAAAUAGAGGUGCCCCUAUCAUUGUAAAUCAUCCCUUGAGACUCCUCUCAACUCAAUAAGAAGAACUCUCUCUACUCUUCUCUCUAUUGCUAUUGUUCUUGUUCUAUUGUUCUUGUCUUUUGCUUUAGUUUAUAACAAAUU